AGACGACAUAUAUAAUGGCUUAUGUUUCGGCCAUAAGAUUGAUAUUUUUGUAUCGUAUGUUU
This 62-nucleotide transfer RNA is filed under the name Paruterina candelabraria. RNAcentral describes it as "tRNA-Arg". Lineage: Eukaryota; Metazoa; Platyhelminthes; Cestoda; Cyclophyllidea; Paruterinidae. The record is from RNAcentral.